GAAGAGUAGUACGUUCUCUCGGUUUCUCUGCACCCUCGUUUAAAAAGUGAGCACGAAAAGGGACACUUGAAGCAUGGAGAGGACCUCGGCCUUUUAUUACACUGGCUGUGGAUAGGGGACAAGGGGAUGGGUGAAACGAAAGGACCCCUGAUUAUCCAUUCGUCCUGAAAGCCUUCACGUUUUCACCGACCCCUUUCUCUUCGGAAGAAGCAACCAGAAACAGAAGCAACAGCAAGAACAGCAGCAACGACGGCAACAGGCCAAAGGAUUCUCCCUAGACACCGACAGGAUGCACAUUCGAGCCACACCUAUGCAUCUUUAUGGGGUAUCAUUGGUCGCCAAACAAAUUAGUGAAUGCAAGCUCUCUAAUCACGUCCGAUGUUACUACGUGGCGGUACUGUUAAUUUAUGACGCGACGUUUACAGCGCCAUGCGUUGACUCGCGAUAAGUUCUCAGGAUAUUUCCAAGGUAAAAACGAGAGAUGCUUUUGCCUUUUGCUAAAGCAACUAUGAAGUUGACAGUCAGUUCCACUCGUAUUUCUAUAAUAAAAACGAUGAUAAAUGUUUUUGGAAAGUUAUGCGAUCGACCGAUAAAGAUUUUUACGAUGAAUAAAGGGAUAUAGAGAAAGAGAUAGAGAAAAGUUCUUUUCAGAGAGGUUCUAUGAAAAGUAGGAGUGCUUUAUCGUUAUACUUCAGCGAGAUUUAUUAUCGAAUAGAUGCUUUCAAAAAUUUAUAUCGAUAAACGUCGAAGCUUUCAAUCAGUUCGAGUUAUUUGCCAUUGAGAAAUCUAUGAAGAGACGAGAUAAGCAAACUACAGAUGCUUCCUGAAGUCUAUAAACCGCAGUUAGAAACGUAAUGCUCUGAUUUAAGCGUAUACACUAGAUCUACACUGUCUCGCGGUCGACUUUCACCGACUUAGUUUGCGAUAGUGAAUAAUUUCACCUUCGGAAAUUCAAGUGGAUAAAUUCGAGAUGAUCGAUGAGUAAAAGGGAUUAAAAGAACUAAAGGAAAAGAAGAAGAAAAAAAAAUAACUAGUGAUUUUUUUUUUCUUUGUUAUACAUAUAUCACGGUAUAUUUUUUAGGAAUGUACAGUGUUAGGUAGUAAUCUGAGAUGUUGCCGAGCAAGCAGCCUGCUGCGACUCGAUGUGGAUUCCAAGUAUGAAGUGAGAUAUAAGCCUCAGAUUUCUGCGUAAAUAUACAGAGUAUGCAUCUUAUCUCGCGAGAGGAACGAUAUAACAAAGUGUGAAGAUGCUGACGGUGCCAGGACCAACUUGGGUUCACGAGGAAAGAAAAUAACUAUGAUAGAUAUAUGUGUGUCACAUGCAAAUUAUAUAUUUACAUGCGAUCUUUAAACGAGCGAUUUAAAACGAGCCCAGUCGUCAGAAUUGAUAUUUGCCAAGCUAUCGACCAAUCAAGCAAUUUGUUUCUUCUCUCUAUUGGGCCCCGUUGAUUUCAUUGUAUUCAUCAAAUCAUCGCGUGACCGAUUUGCUCGUUCCUGUGGCUCGUGAUCUUCUCGUUAGAUGCCGCCAGGCAUUUUAUUGUAGAAGAAGUAGCAGGUGUUUGCGAUUUAUCAAAUGUAACAUGGAUAACGAUAUGUUUUCUUUUUUUUUCUUUUUUUUUGUUUUUUUUUUUUUUUUAUAGAUAGUUGUGGAUAAGUAAACACUUAUAAUUCAUCAAAAUCUGGUCUUAAUGUAAUUGGUGCGAUAACGAAGGAUCGCGGAAUAUAAUUUAAGUGGAUUCUCGGACACACAUUGGGAGUUUCUAGUUGGAACAGGGAGUGAAACUUGAGAUUAUAUGGUAGCAAAGGGCUGUCUGAUAUCUUCCUGAGAGUUUCGAUGAAUCGAAAUGGACCGAGGCCACGGAAAUUUGCAUAAUUCAAUUCCUGUCGACGGAAACUCGAAUUGACGAUCUUAUCGGGCUCUCUCGACUCCCUCUAUCUUUCUCUCUUUCUCUUUCUCUCUCUAUUUCUCGUACGUAUAUACAUACGAGAAGUCAGCGAUUAAAAUUCUCGCGAGAACGGAGCACUAUCGGUCAGCGAACGUACGAAGCUGCUCUCCUUGAUUUAACGAAGCUAAACGUGCCAUAAGCGAAGCGACAUGAAUGCGGAACGGCUUUCGAUAUUGAGUUUAAAGCCCGAACGAGUUUUGCUGCCGACUGGCACUAAUGUACGAUCAUUGUACUCGAACCGAAGCCAAAAGACUGCCACGUGUGCACCCUUCGUCAAACGCGACGCUUCGAAAACUGACUCACGAAGUUUACACCCCGUAGUCUGGGAGUUUCUAAAAGAAGGAGGAGAGAUAGUUUGCAUACGUAAUAAAGCAAGAUGGCAAAGGGUGGUCUCGAGCAACGUAGAAAAAUAUUACUUCGGAUAACAUUAAUAAUUUAAUAUAGAUCAUGCUCUAUUCGAUUAAAAAGGAACACCCAAAGGUAUAACAUUGCUUUCAAUUCGAUCUCGAUAUAAAAAUAACUAUAAAUGUGUUAUUUAUUAUCCAAUGCUCGAUUAGCAACGAGUUUACUUUGGCUUCGCCUUUCGGAACUAUUAUUAUAACAUUAUUCUUCAUUCGGCCGAGGGUUUAUCGACAUGGCGCGCGCACGUUCGCGCGCUCUCGUGUGCCUAUAAGAUAUGAAGUUAAUAUCAUAAAGUAGAAGGUAGAAGCAAGAGGAGGAUGUGUAUAUCUACAUCUAUAUACGUAGUAACGUCAUAGAAAAGAGGACGGUGGUCCCUUGUCAAAAUAUUAGCUUAGGAACGACCCACGCAAUGAUUUAAGAUACGUGUUCCACACAGGUAUCUUUCCACUUUGGUCAGGACACCUUUCGCUUCGAGGAUAUUACAUCGAUCCCGUGUACGUAUCCAAGCACAAUGAUAUAAGUGUUCGUUUGAAGCGUACCAGGAAUGUAGAUCGAUAUAUUUUCUCCUCAUCGUAAUGGAAUUCGGUAGGCGGUCUGACGUGGGUAUUAAAUUCCAUCGGGAUUAGAAUUUUCUAUGAGUUCGAUAUUUCGAUGGAUCAUUGUUGCUAUGGAACAUCAUUAAUUAAUACGUAAUUUAAUAAUCUUAAUAAUAAGAUCGUAAUUCGAUCAGAGAGAUUGUAAUUGUGUUUGAGAAUAAGUAGAAAAAAAAAAUAAAUAAAUAAAUAAAAAAGAAAAAGAAGAAGAAGAAAAAAAAGAAAUUUCGUCGUUUUUAUCAUUCGCAAUAAAUCUCCAUUAAACUUUGUAGAAAAUUCGUUCUCUCUGGUGUCAUCUCUCACGAGUUGUGGUAUCAACGUAGCAACGUUCGUAUAAUGCGUCCAUUGUCAAGAGAAUAUGUGGGUGAACGCGUAUGCCCCGUAAAUACUCGCGUACUUGUACCAACGUGGAUGAUGCACCUGUGCAAAUAUUUUCAUGCGACAAUGCAUCAGCAACGCUGAUGUCGUCGUUUGAUGCAAGAGUCGCAACAUCGGCAGAAACGGAAUCACGAGUCUUCCCUUCUAUCUCCUCGUGAUCGUACCACAUCUGCAUAUAUGUACAUAACUGUGUACAUAGAUAUACAUAGAUAUACAUACGCAUCUAUAUAUAUACAGAUAUGAAAUAUAUGAAUGAGAAAACGGCAAAGGGGUGAACGGGUAUAGUUCCAAACGAUUUACAAGCGUACCGUUGUUAACCAAAACAAGGGAAUACCCUUCCCGAUAUUCCCAUUAAGCAUCAUCGGUUUCGAAAUCAAAUUAUAUUCCGUAUCUAUAGUGCAUUUCAUAUUUUCUCCGCUAUCGAUUAUCUCAGAAUCGAUUCGUUAUACCUACGUAGAUAUUAUUUAUCGUGGACCAUUUAAUCCAUAAUAUUUAUCAUC
Vespa mandarinia (Asian giant hornet) is the source of this 3819-nucleotide long non-coding RNA. The record is from RefSeq and is a predicted model, not a curated record. Lineage: Eukaryota; Metazoa; Arthropoda; Insecta; Hymenoptera; Vespidae.